RNAcentral lists this long non-coding RNA (205 nucleotides) under Ananas comosus (pineapple). RNAcentral describes it as "long non-coding RNA (ACOM_LNC043685)". Lineage: Eukaryota; Viridiplantae; Streptophyta; Magnoliopsida; Poales; Bromeliaceae. The record is from RNAcentral.
CCACGCAGGAACCAAUCGGCCCUAUCCUUGUCAUCCUGUACCACAUCCGGGACACAAUUCACGAUGCGAAAAAAUUCUCGUUCGUAUUCCCUCACAGAGCGGUCUCCUUGCCGCAGCUUCCUGAACCUGUCCUGAAGCUUUCUCUUUUCAGUAUCGGAGAAAUAAGCCGAAAACACCAAUCUCCGAAACUCAUCCCACGCCAUAG